RNAcentral lists this small nuclear RNA (304 nucleotides) under Castor canadensis (American beaver). Its description in RNAcentral is "7SK RNA (ENSCCNG00000013182.1)". It matches the Rfam family "7SK RNA". From Rfam's summary of the family: 7SK was discovered as an abundant small nuclear RNA in the mid-70s but a possible function has only recently been suggested. Two independent studies have found that 7SK RNA binds the CDK9/cyclin T complex (known as elongation factor P-TEFb). P-TEFb activates transcription by phosphorylating the C-terminal domain of RNA polymerase II. The record is from RNAcentral. Lineage: Eukaryota; Metazoa; Chordata; Mammalia; Rodentia; Castoridae.
GGAUAUGAGGGCGAUCUGGCUGUGACAUCUGUCACCCCAUUGAUCGCCAGGGUUGAUUCGGCUGAUCUGGUUGGCUAGGCGGGUGUCCCCCUUUCCUCUCUCCCCGCUCCAUGUGCAUCCCUCCCGAAGUUGCACGCUCAGUCGAAGAAGAUGACCAUCCCCUAUAGAAGAGGACCGUUCUUCGGUCAAGGGUGUAUGAGUAGCUGCACUCCCCUUCUAGAACCUCCAAACAAAGACCAAGUUCUCUGUCAGGAAAUGCCUACAAUAUGUACUACACACUAUGCAUGAACUAUAUCUUUCCUCA